RNAcentral lists this long non-coding RNA (40908 nucleotides) under Lactuca sativa (garden lettuce). RNAcentral describes it as "long non-coding RNA (LSAT_LNC008016)". The record is from RNAcentral. Lineage: Eukaryota; Viridiplantae; Streptophyta; Magnoliopsida; Asterales; Asteraceae.
ACUGGACUCGACGAGUCCAAAUAUGGACUCGGCGAGUCUACGCUAUUUAGCGAAAACCCUAACCGUUCAGGUUUGAGACGUAUAAAAAGGACUCAUUGGCCGUCAUUGUUCAUUUUAGCCUUCUGAGAAGAACCCUAAAUCGAUUGUGUGCAUCUGGAGCAAGGAUUAUAGGCCAUUGUUGAUUAUAGAAGAGUGGUUGUGCAAGGAAGAGAAGGGAUUGGCUAAAGGAGUAGCAAGGGAGUCACAUUCUGAGGAUUGGGGACACAGAGAAUACAUCAUCCAGGUAAGAAUUCGAUUAUACUCUGCUAUGUUGAUGUGUUUUUGGAAUUAGGGUUUGUGGAACCCUUUUGUGAUUAGAUUGAAUGCUACCCUAGUCCCCCAAACGAUUGUGACUCUGUGUUGGGACCUUUGGAGGUCCAGAAUGUCCCAUGCCUGUACAUUUCGGGAAUUGAUGAAGGUUUUGGAUUGGAAUCCUUAUGCCUUAGGUCAAUAUGUAUGUUAUGAAUCAUGGGGUGUAUCAUGAGCACCAAAAUGAGGACCUUACGUGAUGGACCAGUCUAGGAAGGCCAGGCCUAUGAAUGGUCGGAGCAGUUCUGCCAUUAGAAAGCAGUUUGAGCGGUUGCAUGGCAUGGACUCGCCGAGUCCGAUGAACAGACUCGGCGAGUAGCUUGAAGAUUUACUGGGACUCGUCGAGUUGUUCUUCAGACUCGGCGAGUUGAGUCGGGGUGGCCCCGCGAUUCUUCCAGGAGGAACUCGUCGAGUAAAAAGGGGAUACUCGACGUGUAGAAAGGGUGUCUUAAGGAAUCGGUGAGUUAAGGGCGAGUGGACUCAGAGUCGUUGAACUCGGCGAGUCUUGGGGUGACUCGGCGAGUUAGAUCGCGGGUUGAGUGAAGUUCUGAGUAUGGGGACUCGGCGAGUCAUAGGGUUGACUCGGCGAGUAGGGUCAGUCAGGGGUUGACUUUGACCUUGUCUUUGACCAAGGAUUUACCAGUGGUUCCAGGGGUAUUUUGGUAAUUGUUGUUAUUGUUUGAGUUCAGUGCAUUGGUGACUGUCCAGAGGUGGAGAUCGUAUCAGUGAUCGGAGCAGCUUGAGCUAUCUGUUCAGUCGGCAGUUUCGAGGUGAGUUAUCCUCACUGUAUCGCUAGGGUUUAUGGCACCAAGGCCGACCCUCUUUAUCGGAUGGAAAUCCGGACAGUUGUCAUUGUUAUGAUAUACGUCGGAAGGCAUUACAUGUUAUGGGCCGGAAGGCGUUGCUAUGUGGACCGGAAGGUCAUGGCCUGGAAAGGCGUAUGUAUGCAUUUAGUAUGUUGACUGAUUUAUAGGGUAAUGUUAUGCUAGUGACCGGCUAGACCGGUAUCUUGUUUAGAGUAAUGCUAUGAUAUGUGAUCUGUUGAUCGAUUGUUGUCUAUGAACUGCUAUAUGAUUAUUUGUUAUGUUAUAUAUGCAUUUUAUGCUUAUGGGCCGGAAGGCAAUAUGUUAUGGGCCGGAAGGCAAUAUGUUAUGGGCCGGAAGGCGAUAUGUUAUGGGCCGGAAGGCGUAUAUGUGGUUGGUAUUCUGGGGGUAUCUCACUAAGCUUUCGGGCUUACAGUUGUGGUUUUAUGUUUCAGGUUCUCAAGAGUCUGUGGCAAGGCAAAGGCGUGAUCGUACCGUUCCUCGCGUUGGUGUUUUAUGAUAUGAACCUGGGAAAUUACUCUGUUUAAUAAUGUAUUGAAAACCUUUUUGUAACAAUGUUAAUAAAAUGGGUGAUUUUGAAAAGUUUUAAUUGUUUUGAAAUUUUGGAUGUUACAAGUUGGUAUCAGAGCCUUGGUUUGAGUGAAUUGGGGAAACAUUCGUGUGACUCCAGUCUCAAAUCGAGGAGGAUUUUAAAAAGAGAAAUUAAAAUGGUUUUCAAAUUUAGUAAAAGGAGGACGCGGAGGUACGAUCAGCCGGAGCCAGUAAGUAACCCCAAGAUACCAUACAUGAUAUUUGUUUAUUUGAGCUUGAUAGAACAGCAUGCUAGAGUUAGGCUAGGGAUCUUCAGGAAUUCAUGAUAAUGUUGCCUGAUUUGUGAUGCCUGUAGCCUAGGGUCCCUUAUGGGAUGUUCUCAGUGUUCCUCUAGUGGUGAGGGUUGAUAGUUGUUAUGCAUGUUCCCUAGGGUAUUGUGGUAGUACUUCAUACAAAUAUGGGUAGGUGUGGAAGGUAGUAUGGGCCCGUACUACUGAAAGCACAGGACCCAUACGCGUAUCAGGGAAACCAUGGUCUCUAGGGUAGGGUUGCGAGAGUUGGAUCCCAGGAUUUUGGGAAGUGUCUGAGAUUGGUAGGGUGUCUUCAGUAUGGAGAUUUCGAGGCAUGAUGAUAGUGGAUCCGGAUCAGGAUCGGGAGCUGGAGAGCGAGUUCCGGGUGGAUCGGUGCCGUCGGAGGUUAUCGAUCGGACGAGCACGAGCGAGCGGGAUGCGAGGAUUCGCGAGAUCCUGCGUGAUGAGGUUGCUGCAUUGUUACGGGCUGAGUCGCCAGAAUUGUUUGGGUCGAUCAGGACCGCCAUGGUUGAGUAGUUUGAUGAGCGAUAUGCGGCUCUCGCAGAGACGGCUGCCGCGGCAGUUACAGCGGCUGUAGCAACGGCAAAGAGAGGAGCUAGUCGGGGUUUUCAGUAUCGGGACUUCUAUUAUACGAAGCCUCCCACAUUCGAUGGAGUUCAGGACCCGAUUGUUGCUAUGAGAUGGUUAUCAGACGUGGAGGGGUGUUUCUCCACGAGUUUAUGCCCUGCUGAUCAGAGGGUGAGGUGUGCUCUGAACCUAUUGAGGCUCGGAGCGAAGGAUUGGUGGAGAUUGACUACGGGGUCAUUUUCCGAUGCGCAGAGGGCUGCGGUUUCAUGGGAUCAAUUCAGAGAGAUGUUCAGUACUCGCUAUGUUCCGCGGGAUGAAAAGGAGAGAUUGGCUCGGGAGUUCCUUGAGCUGAAGCAGGAUUUGGAGUCGGUGACUGAGAUCACCAGGAUGUUUAUUGAGAGGGCGAUGUUUUGCCCUGAGUUCGCUUCGGAGCAGGCUCAGAUGUCCCGAUAUCUGAGUAUGCUCAAGGGGGAUAUCAGACAGUUCGUGUCUGCGCAGAGGUGCGAGACCUUGUUGGUGUUGCAGGAGGCCGCCAUGCGGCGUGAGUUAGAGGUUGAGUUGCAGUUGCGUGAGCUGAGGCAGGCUCCGAUGCAGUCGCAGCCAGCGCCGAAACGGUCCAGUACCGUUGAUGUUAGAAUGGGGGAUCGGAGCGGCCACACUUGUGGGAAGUGUGGGAGGGGUCACACCGGAGUUGCUGGUCCGGUGGUGCAUGCCGCAAGUGCGGAAAAGAGGGGCACUAUGCGCGGGACUGUCGGCAGUCAGUGCCGAUUCGGGAUUUGAGGAUUUGUCAUCAUUGUCGGCAGGUUGGACAUUUGAGGGUCAACUGUCCACAGCUUUCUGCAGGACCGGUGCAGGCUCUAGCACCGGCCACCUUGAGGAGUUCAGGAGGAGGACAGGAUGGAGCGGAGCCCCAAGGGCUCAGGGUCGUGCUUAUCGGCUUGCGGCAGAGGGAGACGGAGCAGUGCCGGAGGCAGCUGCGGGUAUGAUGCUUUCUUGAUGUCUUGAUUAUCUUGCGUUGAUUGUGGCGUAUUGUUUGUGCUGGUAUCUGGUGUGGAUUUCGAUGCGGUAUUCGUUGUUUCGCGGGUUUGGCAUGGUUAUGGAUUGGUGUUUCAGGUUUUCGCUUUGGCAUUCGUUGUUCCCUGAUGGUUUGGUAUGGUUAUAGUUUGGUGUUUUGGUGCCGGUAGCCUUGUGCGGUUUUCGAUGCGGUAUUCAUCCUUUGGCAGGUUGUGGGUUUGGUUACGGGUUAUUGUUGGGAAUUCCGUUGGUUAUCGUUCGUGAGGGUUGUUAGUGGAGAUGCGGCACUGGGUUGAAUGUCGGGUAGCAUCUGCAGUCGUAGAGUGGAUAAUUGAAAGACCGGAUUCUUUUGAGUGGAUUGAUCAGGGAGGAGAUGUGUUUUGCUGAGGGUUGCUUAUGCUUGUGGGAAGCAGUCAGUGGGUAAAUGUUCUCUUUGUGCAGGAUUGUUCUGAAAGGUCGUUAAUGACGAUCGGUGGCAGUUAGUCAGUGCUUUAGUGGGGGAGAAUUGGAGAAUUCUCCGGGAGAUCGAUGAGUAUGUGAGGGUGCUUAGCUGUUGGGAUUCAGCAGUGUUUGUCAGCGCAGAGUAUAGGCCGACGAGAGCGAGUGUCGGGUAUGCGGGGCGGGAUACAGACCUAGGGCAUUUGAUUGUGGAGGCCUGAGAGAAGGCCGGGAUCAAGCUUGAGUAAGUAACCGGGGUUAUGCGAUCAGAGUAUUGGUAUGUUUGAGGUACGUGAUGGGUUGUACUGCAUUAAUCCCACGGGAUUAUGUUGUGCAUGUUUCUAGAGCUGGAACCGGAAGGUUCCCAGAGUUAGAACCUGAGGGUUCGCAGAGUUUGGGUGUACGGACCCACAGAGAUAUAGCCUCGAGUGGCUAGUAUGUGUUAUGAGAGUCGGUCCAGUCAUGCUGGAGACUCUGUUGGUAUUGCUGGAUCAGUUUGAGAUUGCGGAUCGUGUAUGUUGCAGUGUGAUUGCAUUGGAAGGUCUGGCCCCGGGUUAGUGAUCUUGUUUAGCUGAGGCAGUGAUUUUGAUGAGUGGAGAGAGUGCAUGGGAUUGAGAGCCCCUGCAAUGAGAACCAGAGUAUGUGAAUAGCGGUUACGCAAAAAGGGUGGUGUCGCUUGGGGCAAGCACCGUAGCACCGGUUGGAGUGGCAUUAUGGCCAAGAGGGUCCCUUGGAAGGAAAAGAGAAAGGUGUGUAACUCCGAAGGGGAGUGCAAGUUCACGAGAAUGAAAGCUGCAGAGCAGAGUUAUGGUUAGAGUAUUUCGAGUAUGCCUUCGAGCAUCGUGUUCGCGGCAGCGAAGUAGGAACCCAUCCGGUUUGGGAUGUCUGUUGAGGCUCAGAAGGGAUGCAGGGAGAGAGAGAAUCUUAAAUUCUCAGUGUGAUUCUGAUCAGAGUGUAGGGUGGAUGUAGUGGUUCAUCUUGGGAGAUGUUCGAGGAUAUCAUCAGUGUAUCGGGUCUUUCAACCUGCGGGUGUUGGGACUAGUUCAGUAUGUGUAUGUGAUGGCAAGAGGAGAACUUGUGAGAGUUGCUCUGAGAGUGAGAAUGGAUCUCUCAGUCGGUCCGGAAUGGACAAAGUGGGCUUUGGAUCGGGGAUCCGGUGGUUCAUGGUUUCCUAACCCUUAUGGGUCGAGUGAUCGUUGAGAUUUAGAGCAGAGUUGCAUCUUGGGUAAUUUUCGGUUACAGAGAGUGAUGUGCAGUACAGAGAUCGUGCUUCAGUCGACAGAGCAGAUUCGACAGAGCCGACAGGGAAAGUUAUGCAGACAGACGCCGGUCCGAGCUUGAGUUUCAGGUCGGCAACCUCGUACUCCUGAAGGCCUCUCCUUGGAAAGGAGUGAUUCGCUUCAGGAAGAGAGGCAAGUUGGGGCCCCGGUACAUUGGGCCAUUUCGGGUGAUUGCAAGGAUAGGCCGGGUAGCCUAUCGAUUGGAGUUGCCAGCGGAGUUGGGACAGAUCCACGACACCUUUCAUGUGUCGCAAUUGAGGAAGUGCUUAGCCGAUGAGUCGGCAGUGGUUCCAUUAGAGGAUAUUCAGGUGGAUGCGAGCCUGAAUUAUGCUGAGAGACCAGUGGCCAUCAGAGAUCGGAAGAUCAAGGUUCUGAGGAACAAGGAGGUACCUCUGGUAUUGGUUCAGUGGCAACAUCGGAAGGGAUCGGAAAUGACUUGGGAGCCGGAGCGUGAGAUGCGGGAGCAGCAUCCGGAGCUAUUUUCAGAGUGAGACUUCGAGGGCGAAGUCUAGUCCUAGUGGGGGAGAGUUGUAACAGCCCGGAAUUCCAGGUAUUGUUAUAUUUAUGAUUUUGGGUGUUUUAAGAGGGGACUCGGCGAGUUGGAGCUCAGACUCGCCGAGUAGGAUCGCAGAUCUGGUCGCGGGUUCGCGACUGGACUCGACGAGUCCGGAUAUGGACUCGGCGAGUCCGCGCUGUUUAGCGAAACCCUAACCGUCCAGGUUUGGGACAUAUAUAAGGGGCCUUAUGGCCGUCAUUGUUCACCCUAGUCCUGUGAGUGAAACCCUAAUUCGAUUGAGAGCAUCUGGAGCAAGGUAGAAGGCCAUUAUUGAUCUUGGAAGUGUUAUUUUGCAAAAAGGAGGAGGCUUGGUUAAGGGAACAACAGGAGAAGCCAUAUUCUGAGAGUUGGGGACACAGAGCAACGUUAUUCAGGUAAUAUUUUCGAGUUGUUCCCUUCUAUGUUGAUGUGUAUAUGGAUUUAGGGUUUAUUGAACCCUUUUGUGGCUAGAUUGAGUGUUUCCUUAGUCCCCCAAGCGAUUGGAACCCUAUAUUGGGACCCUUGGAAGUCCAGAAUGUCCCAUGCCUGAGCAUUUCGGGAAUCAAUGGAGGUUUUGGAUUGGAAUCCUUAUGCCUUAGGUCAAAAUGUAAAUUAUGAGUCAUGGGGUGUAUUAUGAGCACCGAAAUGAGGACUUUACGUGAUGAACCAGUCUAGGAAGGCCAGACCUAUGAAUUGCCGGAGCAGAUCUGACCUUAGAAAGCAGUUUGAGCGGUUGCAUGGCAUGGACUCGCCGAGUCCGAUGAACAGACUCGGCGAGUAGCUUGAAGAUUAACUGGGACUCGUCGAGUUGUUCUUCAGACUCGGCGAGUUGAGUCGGGGUGGCCCCGCGAUUCUUCCAGGAGGAACUCGUCGAGUAAAAAGGGGAUACUCGACGUGUAGAAAGGGUGUCUUAAGGAAUCGGUGAGUUAAGGGCGAGUGGACUCAGAGUCGUUGAACUCGGCGAGUCUUGGGGUGACUCGGCGAGUUAGAUCGCGGGUUGAGUGAAGUUCUGAGUAUGGGGACUCGGCGAGUCAUAGGGUUGACUCGGCGAGUAGGGUCAGUCAGGGGUUGACUUUGACCUUGUCUUUGACCAAGGAUUUACCAGUGGUUCCAGGGGUAUUUUGGUAAUUGUUGUUAUUGUUUGAGUUCAGUGCAUUGGUGACUGUCCAGAGGUGGAGAUCGUAUCAGUGAUCGGAGCAGCUUGAGCUAUCUGUUCAGUCGGCAGUUUCGAGGUGAGUUAUCCUCACUAUAUCGCUAGGGUUUAUGGCACUAAGGCCGACCCGUUUAUCGGAUGGAAAUCCGGGUAGUUGUCAGUUGUUAUAUGUUAUGGGCCGGAAGGCAUUACAUGUUAUGGGCCGGAAGGCAUUGCUAUGUGGACCGGAAGGUCAUGGCCUGGAAAGGCGUAUGUAUGCAUUUAGUAUGUUGACUGAUUCAUAGGGUAAUGUUAUGCUAGUGACCGGCUAGACCGGUAUCUUGUUUAGAGUAAUGCUAUGAUAUGUGAUCUGUUGAUCGAUUGUUGUCUAUGAACUGCUAUAUGAUUAUUUGUUAUGUUAUAUAUGCAUUUUAUGCUUAUGGGCCGGAAGGCAAUAUGUUAUGGGCCGGAAGGCAAUAUGUUAUGGGCCGGAAGGCGUAUAUGUGGUUGGUAUUCUGGGGGUAUCUCGCUAAGCUUUCGAGCUUACAGUUGUGGUUUUAUGUUUCAGGUUCUCAAGAGUCUGUGGCAAGGCAAUGGCGUGAUCGUACCGCUCCACACGUUGGUGUUUUAUGAUAUGAACCUGGGAAAUUACUCUGUUUAAUAAUGUAUUGAAAACCUUUUUGCAAUAAUGUUAAUAAAAUGGGUGAUUUUGAAAAGUUUUAAUUGUUUUGAAAUUUUGGAUGUUACAGUUACCAACCACGGCCUUAACACACCUUAAUCAUCACAACUCUAUGCAUCCUGAGCUGAAACCUACAUCCAACUGCAUCCCGACAGAUGUUCGGGACAUACUUCGAAUUCCAAAUCCCUCAACUUGUACUCAACCAUAAGACUACUAUGUGUAACAAAUGAGACACCAACCAACGGUGGGAAACUUCCGGAACUCCCACCUAUACAACCGCAAUCUGAACAACCACCUAAUUCGUCUCUCCCCCUGGAAAGGAUGUGAAACUUGCCCUAGUUCCACACCCUUUCUAACUAUCAGAAAUCCAGAUCGAUUCUCCCCCACUUGGAUUCGACAAAGUCCUCUCUCACUUCUUAAUUCUUAUGGAUCUUUGACCCAUCUACCUCAAAUACCAUGAAGCGCCUAUAACCUGAGCUAAUCAAUACUAGCGUUCCAUUGCAAGCCAAACUCAUGUUCGCCCAACUCCUGAAACCCUGAAGAAUACUCUUGAAAUCUUAUCCAGUCUAAUAAUCCAAAUCACCUCCCAUGAUACCAUACCACUUCCCGGAGUUCUUAUGUUGGCGACUAAAAACCAUAACCCCUGCCAUGAACUGACGAAUCUUCAUCCCAACUCCCACUCUCGAAGAAUCAUUUAAUCCUACUCUACUACAACUUGAGCAAAUAUAAAACUCCCAUGACAUUACCAAUGACCAAACAACUCAUGCAACUGACACGACCAUCUUCCUGCUACUGCUCCUCUCUUAGCAACAGUAGUGUUUGAACCCAACAUUUUUUCCAUAGGCAACUGACGAUCCUACUAGUACAAAUACUAAAACCACUGAACCGUGACUAUUAUCGAAGAACUAACCUACUAAAUCCUAACCAAGGACUUCCACACAAUACCCACGAACCGAUUUUGACCAAAAACCAAAAUCGCAACCGAACACAAUGGAACCCACUACACGAGAUACAACCCCUCAAUAACCCACUAAUGAUCAUGGCGUGCAAAAGGCAUAACAAUUCUUCGAGGAUAUAACCCAAGAAUAACAUAGAACUAAAGCAAAUAUAAUGCUUACCCAAAACAAUAUAGAAUUCCAAGAAACAUAAAUACUGAUAACAACAAAAGAGAAUGCAAAAAAUAACAUACCCGUAAAAUCACUUACAGGAGCACAAGCCUCCCCUGCCUGACUCUGAUAUGACCGACUCCUCUCUGCUGGGGCUCCUUCCCUAUCCCCACGACUAUCAGAGAUCCACAAAAUAAUCAGAGCAGGUGCACUCAGUGCUCCUCCCCUCGUCAUUAGACAUACGCUCCUCUUGUGGCGCACUUGGUCGCAGAGAAAAUAUAACAGGCUUGCCCUUGAGGACAAUCCCUGUUGACAUAUUCGAUCCUGCUACACUUGUAGCAACCCAUACCCCUGGAAUGGAAAGCUCCAUCGUGUAGUUUCUUGUACGUGCUGCACUGACCCCGGCCCUGCUGGCCUCUCAAUCGUUGAUCCAAAGCCUUGGGUCUCUUCAUAGGACCCUCCCUCACCUACACCCGAUCUGACCCCUCUUACCCAGGUGAUCCAAAUCGACCUCUCGCUCACAGAAUGAUGGAGUGCAAGCUCCAACGAUAGCCAUAACCUCAUCACAGAUUGCGCCUAAGCGAUCAUCCAAUAUCUCCAGAAUCCCUUCCUUAACUAAACCAAAGAUCAAAGGAGUUUGUUCUAGAAUACCGCGGGUAAUCUAUGACGAGAUGAAUUCCCGCAUCUGCUUGCUAAUCGGCACCAGAGCCCGAACCAGAACCAGAAGCCUCCUUCCUAAGUGCUCAUUUCCAAAUAGAAAUACACCAUGCAAAUGAUCAGAAUAUAGCCAAGAAUCCUCUUCCUACAUGCUUCUUAGAUUCUCCAAAACUCUCCCCGAUUCGAGUAGGGAUCCUGUGCUUUUAGCAGUACAUGUCCAAUACUACCUUCCACACCUAUCCAUACUUUCCUCAAGAAUCAUUCCAAAUCCUCUAAGUCACCAUCUCAAAAUGAUGCACCAAAAACUCACUAAAAAGCGCAACUAAACCUGUUGAAGCACUUCCUAGGCUCUCCUAGGUUCCCAACCUCACCUUGCCAUCAGCUGUUAAAGAACUGUUGAGAGAAAAACUUGAACAAAUGUUAGUCACAAGAUAAUAUAAUGUGAAAUAAUAAGUAAAUCUCGAAGGAUCUUGUUGGCUCAACAAUAAUAAGUUAGAAGAGUUAGAUUGCGGAAAUAUAAAGGAAAUAAAUAGCAACAAUUUAUAUCAAGUAUACACCAAGUUGAUUCACAAUGAGAUUUGCAUGCAAACACAAUUUAGUAAGUGCGAUCAACUUAAAGUAAAGAGGGACUUAGUUUAUCAAAAUAUAAUAGAGAGAGAGAGAGAUGAACAAUCUUUCUAUUUCAAUAAAAGUUCAGGAAGAGGUAUGUAGUACAUGAAGAGGGGUGCUCUAUUUAUAGAGUCCCAAAAGUUACAUUGAGGAUUAAAUUAAUACUAAACUAGUGACUAUAGUGACCAUGAAAGGUUUACUGGAUAAUACAAAGUAAAUAACUAAUUUCAGUUAAAGUAACAAAAAGUCUUCAUGCAUCGUCCAUCUCUGCGGUAGUUAUUAAGGUCUGCGGUUAACAAGUCUUGGAUUCCAUCGGUGUAGUUUGGCAUUGGCUCGAAGGGAAGAAACUCGAACUUGUUGUCAAGGACUGGAUGUGUCUCAACACUAAUUUUUCUAAAGUCACAAACCAAUGCCUUAAGGAGUUCACAAGUCCUUUCAAAUGCAAUUUUCAUCUUUGGAUAUUUUCAACCUUGAGUUGAAACACCCUAGCUAUCAGAAAUAUUUCUUUGGGGGUUCAUCCCUACAAAAUCUGCUUGGCUUCUAACGUAUUCACUUCCUCUUCUUGUCAGGGUGUAUUAAAAAAAUUUAGAUUUCAUGAAUUUUCUGAUUUUAUAGUUCUUCUAUAAUUGGACAACUUUGAACCAUGCUUGGCAUGAAAAAGGUUCAAACGCUCGAACUCCAUGGGGAGUCUUCUAUCAUUCGGGAGGCGGAGAUCAAACGAUUGAAUGACUGGAAAGUAUUUGGAGUUGGGAGAAAGUAGAAUGUCGCAAUAACCAUCCGACAUAAGUUCAGCAUAUGUGAGGUAAGGAACAUAGUCAGCAUCGAGGAGUCCGCGGCUUCGGUUCACCCAUGAAUUAAUCAAGGUUUCGUCAAAAGUGGUAUCGAACCCUUGUUCCUUCCAAUUUCAUCCACAAAUUUGGUUCCUCUCCAGUCACAUUUCUUUUGAGCAGCGGCUAAAGAGUCAUCAGAGUGAUUUGAUGACAUUACUUCUUGUUGCAGUGAAGCUAAUUAUCGAAGAGAGUGAUCAGAGAUUGUUUUUUGGGGAGACUUUUGUGGUGCUACCUAAGGAGUUUGAAUUUUUGUUGUGCUUUGCUGUAGGAGGUUGAUAUCUUGGAGGAGUUUGAGAAUGAUGAGCUGAUGGAGUUUUGGACCUUAAAGAAUCACCAUCACUUCCCCUUUUUGAGGAAGCAUGCUUCAGCUGCUCCUCAAACCACUAUUUCAAACCUAUAAUUUUCUCAAACGUAUAAUUGCACUGGUUUUUCAUUUGAUCACAAAUAUCUUGGUUUUUGGGGAUUUGUGACUUGAAGAGGGGUGGAUAAAUUUCCUUGGUGAGGCGGAGAAUUUUGUUAACACUUUCAUUUGCGGUGCUCUGAUUUGCAGUGAUUGAUCUCCUUAGAGCUUUGAUGGUUUCUUAGAGGACUGCAUACCCUGAUUAUUACGUAGAGUGGGUUUCUUCAUUAAUCUUUUUGGAGUUGCUUUCUUGAGUCUGAAGUAUCUGUUGGAGAUCAUCUUUCAACUUCUUUACUUCUGAGAUGAAGGAUUCAGAUAUAGACUUGAAAUCCUUGUGGUCUGCGGUUCUUUGAUUAUCAAGUUCACUUAUACCCAUUUUAGCUCUCAGAAUCAUCCGCUUUGUGGCCUACCUUUCCCUUGUUUCUAAUCUUUCAACUUGUUCAAUGAGCGACUGCGGUGUUGGAACAUCAGUGCUCUAUGGUUCUUUGGUAGUGACUGCUGCCAAGAUCUGAUCUACAUUGCCUUGAAGAUUGAGGAAUUCUUUCCUUAAGACUGCCAUCUACUUUUUCUUCUUGGGCUUAGGCUUCAAAGUGGAAUGUUGAGAUCCACUUGAUUCUUCAUCUUCAAUUACCAAGAUAAAAUUAUCUGAGGGAAGAGGUUGUUGAAUACUGUCAAGGUUAUCAUCAUCAAAACUGAACAUGGGUGUUGAACUGAUCUCAGUUACGGUGCCAUCAUCAUUUGAAUCGUGAUCUUCAUCAUUUUGAGGAGGAUUAGAAGGGACAACCAUAUUCUCUAUGUUUUGAUCUUGUUGAACAGUAAGCUCAUUUGAAGACAUCCAUUGCUGAAUUGCCAAAAUAUCGUGAACAGUUUUGGCAUUAUUGAACAUUGUAGCCCAAUAUUUUACUACAAGUUGGAGAGACUCUUAUUUUUUAUGUUGUUGUUCUACCUCUUGUGCCUUUCUUGCUUUCAAUGCUCUUUUAAAAGCUUCAAUUUUUCAUAAUCCCGACUCUGUUGUUGGAUGAUACCAAGUCCAAGAGUCAUCCAAAGCAUAACCAUCAUGUCCUUGACACACCGAGGUGCCCUCGGGUUCAUGGAUCCUUCCACGUUUGUGCUCAUAAUACCUAAACUGCUUGACUGUAGUGUAGGUGGUACAGGGUUUCCAGAGCUUCCUCGUCUCCUUGAGCUAAACUCAAGUUUGGUCUCUGCUCUGUUCUGGAAAGGGCUGAGAAAGAAGUGCCCUUCGGUGUAACAUGUGUAUCUAGUGUAUGUGUGACCCGAAGAAAAAUUGAGCACAACUCCUCGGGUUCAAAGACAUGUAACCGUGAUGCCCUGGAGACUGUAGGGCGACUAGUAACAACUGGAUCCACUUGGGUUACGAUUGGGGUUCUGUCUCCAUCAUGAGAUGAAACAGAUACACUUUCUGUAUCUGAGUUGUAAGUUGGGGCUCUUUUGGGUGAGUCUACGGUGACUCAAAUGGUUGCAUGAGUCUUUUGAGAGACUCAUGCACGUGCGUUGGAUCACAUUUGGCUAGAACUAUGGAUAAUCUUUAUUUCUUCCUCCUAAAAACAUCUUGGGAUUCUGAGUGCUCAUUUUGAUGUUCAUCAAUGACAUUGACUGGAAUAUCAUGAGCUUGGGAAGGAGAAAGUGGGACUGUGGGAGUAGUCUUUGUGGUUUUUGCCUUUCUGUUCUUUGAGGGAACAACUACCAAUUUAACAAUGAUCAUAGGUGUUUUUCUUGAGAUAACAAGCGAUUUAACCCUUUUUGAUUUUGGAGGUUGGUCAUGUGAUGCGGUAGAAUGACUUGCUUUUAAAGGUUUUAGUUAUGGAUCUUGGACUGCAGUGAGCUGACUGGGUCUUGGCAGGGAAGAGUGAUAUGGGGCAAUAUCACUCGUAGCCAUUAUAUGGUCAGGUACCUCUACGGUAGUGAGUCCAAUGGACUUCAAAAUGUACAUUGGUAAUCUACAGAUGGGACCAAAAUUAGUUUGAUCUUUGGAAGGGUUGUACCUCUUGAGAUCACGAGCUGGGAAUAGGUUGGUGGCAUUGACCAUGCUAAGAUUAACAUCCUUGUGGAGAUCAACUAGGCAUAGUGACCAAAACCUUGAAAAGGUCAAUUUUGUCAUGCCAUAUUUUGGUGCAUCCUUGGAGAUGUAUUGAAGAAAAUCAUCCCAAAUGAUUUUCCAAUAAUCAACAACGUUUCGUGUGAAGAUAAUCCACACAAUGUCAAGGGUUUGUUUGUCCAUAUUAUUAGUCCCUCCUAUCCUGCCUGAGAUACUCUUGAUCACAAAAUGGCAAACAAACUACCAAACCGCAGGCAACUUGCAUUUCUUAAACUCUCCUACGCCUUUGAGCUUUUCCUGAUAUCCUAUCUGAUAGAGAGUAGAGAACACAUCUGUUGAGCUUGUAGUAUAGAACUUUUUUGAAGGAAGGAUCAUGAGAUUGAUUGCAGACAGGUACUUCUCUUUGGUCAAAACCACCAUAGAUUCAUCGACUAGAUUCAGAUGAACUUCAUGAGGAUUGUGGCUAGGUCUGAAUGCCGAGAAAGCAUAUUUGAAGAGAACUACCAAUGGAACUGCUUUAGUGAAUGAAUCGAAUGCACCAAACAAUGGGUGUGUUGGAAGGAACUUGAUCAUUAGUUUAAUGGCUUCAUUUUAAGAUUGAUGAUCUUCAAAUAUCCCUCUGUAAUUGCUUGCUACAAUCGAAGAUGUGAGGUAUUUGAUAGUUGAAUCAGACCAUGCUGGAAGAAAUGAGCCUGAGGCCUCAGAUGGCUUCUUUGAGAUGUCGAAUUUCACCAUGAUUUCAGAAAAUAGUUUGAGAACUUGCUGGAAAAAAGGUUUUUAGCAAGAAGACGAAGAGGAUGAAUGAGUUCGUUGAAAGAAUUCGGAUAGCGUAAAAGCUAUCUUGGGAAGAAAUGGGGAGGGGGGUUGUACCUUUGUAUUUCAAAAGUUAUUAAUGUUAAUUAAGUUACAAUUGUUAAAGUCAAAAACCCUUGGGUUUUUAUCAUUAUCAGCUGAAUUUAAAUAAAUCAAUAGAAAUUUUGAUUCUGGAAAAGGUGGGGCAUUAAAUGUGUUGUAGGUCCAUCAUGACACGUCGGUUAAAUGUGGGGUGUGAUGUGUUUUUAUCCGUUGUAAAAAUGGGGAAUUGGAACGGAUUAGACCCAAAGGUUGCGUAACAUGACUGGAUUUCUUUUAUAGAAAAUUGAUUUUUGGAUUUUUAUCCAAAACUAGACCCGACUGAGGAAAGUUUCAAGGAUGAAUGGAAAAAGUUAUGUGUGACAAAAUGAAUGUUUUGAAGAGCAUGUUUUUGUUUGUAAUGAUCAUUUAGUAGCACACAUGGACAUUUAAACCACUUGAGAAUUAAUGUCUGAGGGUUUAGUGAAUGUGUCUGCGGUAGCUGAAGCUGAAAACAGACUAGAUGAUGAAGGUUAUAAAUAAAUGAAAUAAAGAACCUCGAGGAGUAUAUGGAUCAUAUGUGUUUUCAGCAUACCAAGUACACUGAGAAUCAGAUAUGAAAAAUAUACUAAUAAUUUAUUCAAGAAAGGAACCGUAGAGUAAAUUGCUUCAAGAGUUUUGUUUUUGAAAAGAAAAGAAGCAAUCUAUUCACCCCCGAAGACCUGAAAUGGUCUACGGUACUUAUCCUUUCAGGAAGAACGUCGGGUCUGGGUUCAUCAUUCCUACAAUAUCCAAAAAUCCAUUUAACUUUGUGGAGUCGAGUGCCUUGGUAAAAACGUCAGCUAUUUCUUCGUGAGUGGACACAAAAAUAAGUUUGAUGUUACCUUUAAGGAUGCGGUCUUUGAUGAAGUGAUACCGACGUUCUAUGUGUCUUGUCUUUGAGUGAUGAAUAUGAUUAUCAGAAAUCGCUUUUGCACUCUCAGAAUCAUAAUAGAUGAUUACCCACAACAUCCUGUAACCGUAGUCCAUAAGUUGAGUCUUCAUCUAAAGGACAUGGGAACAACAGCUGGUUGCGGCCACAUAUUCUGCCUCUACGGUAGACAAAGAAACAAAGUUGUGUUUCCUUGAUGACCAGCUAACUAAUCUUCCUCCUAAGAACUGACAUCCACUCGAAGUGCUUUUAUGAUCGAGUCUGCACCCGACAUGAUCUGCAUUUAUGGAAGCUUUAAGACUGAAAUCAUUACCUGCAAGGUACCAGAGACCCAUUACUUUACUUCCCUUUUGGUAUCUGAGGAUCUGCUUGACCACGGUGAAGUGAGAUACUUUAGGCUUAGCUUGGUACUGAGCACAAAAAUCCGUAGCAAACACAAUAUAUGGUCUUCUAGUAGUGAGGUACAUCAACGAUCUAAUCUUUCCUUGGUAUGUGAUCAAAUGACUCUCUGGUAGGGUAAAUUGAGAUUUUAUACCCAAAGGCCAUCAGGACCUUCGCCGAGGAGCAAUUGUCCAUUGAAAACUUCUUCAAUAAAUCAGUGGUAUAAUUUUCUUGAUGAAUGAAUAUCCCUUUAGGGACUUGUUUAAGUUGAAGUCCUAGAAAGAAGUUGAUCUCUCUAUUCAUGCUCAUUUGAAACCAACUUGUCAUGAGCCUUGCAAAUUCAUCCACCAUACCCUGAUCCGUUGAUUCGAAGAUGAUAUCAUCCACAUAUAUUUGAACUGACAUAAAGUGAUUUUCAUUUGCUCAUCUAAAUAAAGUGGGAUCAAUAACACCUCUUUUGUAUCCUGAGGUGACAAGAAACAUAGAGAGAGUCUCAUACCACGCUCUAUGUGCCUGAUUUAGACCGUAUACAGAUUUCUCCAAGUUGUAACAGAGAUGUGGAAAUUCUAAGCUUUCAAAGCCUGGAGGUUAUUGCAGGUAUAUUUCCACUUUUAGUUCUCCAUUCAGAAAAGUACUUUUUACAUCCAUUUGAUGAACCUUGAUGUUUUUAUGAGCAGCAUAUGCUAAGAAGAUACGUAUGACUUCCAUUCUUGCUAAAGGGGCAUAUGUUUCAUCAUAGUCAACACCCUCAAGUUGACUUUACCCCUUGGCGACUAAUCGUGCUUUGUUUCAUACCACCACACAUGAUUCAUCUAGCUUAUUCUUGUACACCCAUCUUGUACCAACGAUUGUGUGGCCUUUCGGCUUAGGUACCAAUUUCCAAACUUUAUUUUGUUCAAAUUCAGCAAGUUCCUCUUGCAUUAAAAUGUUCCAAUCAGGCUCCACGAGUGCCUCUUUUAUGUUUCUGGGCUUAACAGAUGACAUGAAUGCUACAUAAUGACAAUGGUUAUUUAAAUCAGUAGAGGAACGAGUUUGAAUACCUGAGGAUGGGUUUCCGAUGAUUUGACACAGUGGGUGAUCUCAUGUCCAAACGUGUAGCCAUGAUUGUUGAUGGUCUACGACUUCAGUUGAAGGGAUAUCCUCUACGUCUGAGGACUCAGUGGUUAGAGAAGGUAGCUCCCCCUUGAUUUGAGAAUAGGCCGCAGAUGAGUCAUGGUAUGUUGGAAUGGGGUCUGCAGUAGGUAAUGGAAGUUCCCCCUGAGUAGUAGAUGGGAGUUCCCCCUGAACCGAUGACGGUUACUCCUGGACAAGCGAUGUUGGUUCCCCCUAGACUGAUGAGUAAUGAACAAUCCGUGGAUCACUACUUGUAUCAAUUUUUUCAACUUCUUCUUUAUAGUAUUCAAAAAUGGUUGAUUUAUUGGUUGGUCUGCGAGUAGGCACUGAAUCAGUACUUUCAACUAUGGGAACCUUUAUGGUUGUUACUUCCAAAUGAAUUGGUCUUUCCCCCAAAACCGACGAGGUGGAAGUAUUAAAUGAUGUUCCUUCUGAAAAGAUAGGUCCACAUACUACGGCAUGUUGUUGUUGUGCCACCGGAGACACCAAAAUUUCUGAGAGAUACGUUGUCUCUGCGGGAUCAAAGAGGUCAUUAUUGUUAACUUCUACUAUGUUCAAUGGACCCGAGGAUGUGGGAAUAUCGCUUUCCAUAAUUUACUUUGUUUCGGUGGAAGAAGCAUUGAUGCGGACGUAAUAGUCAUCAAGUUUGACAUCAAAGCUUUCGACUAUUAGUCUUGUACGUUGUAUGAGAACCAUGUAUGCAACUUUGUUGGUUGAGUAACCUAGAAAACUGCAUUCAUCUGACUUUAGUGAAAACUUGUUAAGAUGAUCCUUGUUAUUAAUCACAAAACAUAUGCAACCAAAAAUGUGAAAGAAUCGAAUGUUGGGUUUUCGAUUGUCGAGAUCUUCAUAGGGAGUCUUGUUGAGGCGUUUACAAAUGAUGCUUUGAUUUUGAACAAAGCAUGCAGUUGUCACUGCUUCGAUCCAGAAGUAGAGAGGAAGAUUGGAAAAGUUUGUAGGAAUCUGAAAGUGAACCUCUAGGAAUCGUAAGUCCAAGUGAUAAUUCCGAAGUCAGCAUGAGUUCUGAAGUGAAGACUAUUCUGGAAUCUGUCCAAACUUGGAGAAAAGAAGAUGAGGAGUUCAGUAGUGAAGACAUUCCGGAAUGGACAUUAUGUCUGGAAUGUAUGUUGAUCCGAUGUCGUUGUUUUUUGUCUCUUUGUGUAUUACUUAUGUCUCUUUGCAUGAUUAGACAUUUCAUAGGACUUGGUAUGUUUGUCAACUUGGACAAUCAGCAUGUAAGAGUUAUUCCUUUUAUCUGGUCCUAUGUGUGUUUAUUGGUUUGUACGAUGUUUCACUCACUCCUAUUUAAAGGAGCUUUCAAUGCAAAGUCAAAAGACGGAUCAUUCACUCGCUCUUGGCAAUUACUAAGUUACUUCAAUUCUCUUUCAAACAUUCUUCUUGUUCUUCAUUUAUUAACUUUACAUUGAUCUUUUCGUCUCAUUCUUCAUUUAUGACUUGAUCAGUUGUUGAAUAUAUUAACUCAUACUUGACUGGUCUAUCCAGGCUUGACUAGAACAUUUAUUAGCAUGCAGACAUUGAUUUUAUGCAUUCACUCAAGGUUUGAGUUUUCAAACCUUGUCCCUGCGCAUCAGAUCUAUUUGUUCUCUCAAUUGGUAUCUGAUCUUGAGUGGUUUUCCUUUGAAUCCAUAAGAUCAUAUUAUAUUUGGUUUGAAAUUACCUUGGUAUUUCAACCAUUUCUGUGUAAAGGAUAAAAGUUAUUCUAUAUACCACUUUUGCUUGAAGAUAUCUUAACUUCAAUGGCUGCUUCUAAUCCUCAACAAAUUAUUUCAAUGCAAAUCGCAAAUAGUGUGGGUGGCCCUACACGUGCCCCAUUGCUAGUUGUGGAAGAAUAUGAUCACUGGAAAGUUAGAAUGGAAAGAUUUUUACUAGCCAGAGAGAAAGGAGAAGAAAUUUGGAGAUCCAUCAAAGAAGGUCGUCAUGUUCCUGUAAAAACAGUUGUGAGAGAUGUUGUUGCUCAGCUUAUGGGUCAAGAUGAAGCUCGUCUAGCUCCUCUAACUGUUGAUGAUAUUGAGAAGUUUCAUGUUGAUCAAGUUGCUUUGUCAGAAAUGGUGUUUGGUGUUCCUCCUUCACUCUUUGAGCACAUCAAGUUGUGAAAAUCAACAAAGAGAUUUGGGACACUCUUCAAGAUCUGAUUGAAGGUUCGAAAAAUAUGAAGUAUAAGCAUCUCACCUCAGUGGUCAAUAACUUCGAUACCUUCAUUACUACUUUGGGUGAAUCAGUGGCCUUAGCCUCCAACCGUUAUUGAAACGUGGUCAACAACAUUACUGCUCAUGGGAUUGCCCGAACUCCCUUAGAAUACGAUCCCAAAUUCAUAAACAGUCUCGGCAAAGGAUGGGGAAAUGUGAAAUCUUGUCUCCAAAGUAAUGGUUCUUUGAAAAUGUUAAAGCUCUAUCAACCUUUUGAUGAACUUCGAGGACACGAGUCUAACAUUGCUCAAACCAUAAGAGAACUCUUUGGAGGCCCUCUUGCUCUUGUCAGUUCUUUCAAACCAACCAUUCCGAACUUGUCUACUUCGGACCCUUUCAAACCCAUUGUUCCAUCUGUUCAACCCUCCGCAACCAUCUUACCCACACAAAACUAUCAUGUUGAUGAUUCUAAAGCCAUGGACUCUGAACUCCGUUUCCAAUAGGAGUUUUCUCUACUCUCCAUCAAAUACAAACUACCUUUCAAUCCCUCUUACAAACCAUACCAAAACCGAUUGCAUGCUCCUCACCAAAACAAUCCUCAACCAUAUUCAGCUCUGGAACCUCAACUAACUUCGGAGAAUCCUUCUACAUACAAACCAAACAUCACUAAGCCAAACUCUACUUUGGAACCUUCUCAUAAUCCUAAAUCUGACAAACCGAAAAUUGUGUGUCGUAAGUAUGGACAUGCAAACUACUUUGCUAAAGAUUGCCUAGUUGAUGCUCCGUAGAAACCAAAGAUCAAGGAUUCUGUUUACUACGUCCGAAAAGCUCAAGAGAUGGAAGAAAGUGAAAAAGCCAUUGUAACAACGGCAUCAAGGGAUGUUGAAGGAUAUUGGUCAUCCGGAGAUGAUAAUGACAUGGUAACUGGAAGAAAUAUGUUCUUAAUGGCAAGGCAAACUGUUGAAUGUGAUGAAGGAUAUUGGUCAUCUGGGUCAGAAGAUGAAGAUGAUGUUGUUGAACCUCACUACUACUACAUGGCCACCAACGAUCCACCUGGUCGAAGCAUCGUUCAGCAGGUAAAAUCUAUGAUUACUGAUAAUAAUUUUGAUUUGUCUCUCUGUGAACCUUAUCUAACCCAUAUCCAAACAAAUAUGAGCACCAUCUGUAAAUCCUAUGAGUCUACCGUAGAAGCUAGUGAGAAGGAGUGUGAAUUAAAUUGUCUUAGGUUACAGUUUGAGGAUAAAAAAUUGAAAAUCGAGUCUUUAGAGCGUGAGCUUGUAAUGUCAAAAGAUGAAUGUAUCAUUUUAAAAGACAAAUGUGAAAUCACCUAUUCUGAAAGAAAUGUCUUCAUUUCUAAUAACAAACGUCUCAAUGCUAAGAUAGAUGCUUUGCAUAAUUCUAUAGACAUGCUUGAAGCGAACGAAUGGAUGACUCAUAAUUUUCGUCAUCCAUGGUCUAAAGCACCUGGUAUCGGAAGCAAGUUUGCAACACCAAUUGCUCGUCCCUUGAAGGAAUUGCAAAACCUGACAUUCAUGGGAGAGGUUCCGAACACCAAACAUUUGGACACCCCUGUUUCUCCCUUUUCACCUCUUCAUGAGACCACAGACCACUUUGUAUCGUUAAGUCUUGAGUUCCAACCCAUUGUUGUCAAGUGUCUCGAUUCCACGCCUCUUCCACCUCUGAAAAUCCUGGACCUGAAUCGGACCACGGAAGUUCAACAUAGUGUCUCAAAUUGCUUAGAUUACGUUUCUACGCAUAAUCAUCCGAACAACUGUGUUGUUGAAGAAAUCAUUCCGGUGACAACUGAAACUAUUUAUGGGCAUCCUUAGAUGACAAAGUUGAAAAUUCAAGUUGUGUCUCCUCUGGUUCUUGCGAAUCGGCUUCCUUAGUCGUCUCAAAAACAAAAUUGGUUCCCAUUAACCCUGAGUUUAGUAAUCCAUCCACAGGACAGACUUCAAAAUCCUCGUUUCAUCCUAAGGGAAAACCAAUUCUAAGUAGGAAGGAUAUUGUAGAUCCCAAAGUGGAAUCUCGAAAUGCACAUAAAAAGGAAGUUAAGACUUGAUAAAAUUAUAGGUUCCUUGACAACUCCAAAAGGAGUGUAUCUUGGAAUUCCCAUUCAUCAACCAAUAGUCAAAACUCCUUCAAACCCAUUAAGAUCCUCAAGAGACCUGAUUCUCUCAAUCCUGUAGAACCCAAGAAAGUAGACAGUAUUACUCCGCCUAAAUCUCAUGUGAAUGCCAUGACUGUCCAAAAAACUUCUCCUCAGAAUGUUUCAUCUGUUUUUUUAUUGCUAAAUCUGAUGGCAAAAUUUUAAAACCUAAUCUUUCAUCAAGCAAAUCAACAACUGCUAAGUAAACAAAAUUUUCAAAAUCUUCAAAGGAAAGUCUUUUGUGGAAAGUCAAAUCUCACAUUGAUGAAACAACAAUUCUGGAGGUUCCAACUGUUUCCAACGCUUCGGAAGUCCAUAGUCCAAAGAAGACUGUUCGCAACCCCCAAGUCAUUGAAUAUGACUACUGGAUAGAUGAAAAGACAUUAGCCUUCUGUCUGUUUCCAAAGAACUCAAAAAGUACCAUCAGGAAAUACAAAGUUGUUCCGAAGUCACAAUCAAAGUCCAAAGCCCGUGCCUAUGUCGCAAAGUCUAACUUAGAGCCUAAAAACUCCAUCACUCACUAAUUUUGCAGGCACUUUGUGCUUCGGAGCAAGAAACAAUAUGGUAUAUUGAUAGUGCUUGGUCCAUGCACAUGACGGGGCAGAAAGACUUUCUGUGAGAUCUAAAGCUUUCUCCAAACGCUGGUUACGUGUCAUAUGGCAACAAAUCCAACUCUCAAAUUUGUGGUUACAAAAUUCUCACAAAUGGAAACUUCUCUAUCUCAAAUGUGGCUUAUGUAGCUGAUCUGAAACAUAGUUUGAUAAGUGUAGUGCAGCUCACUGAUUCAAAUCGACGUGUGGAAUUUUGCAAGAAGUACAGCUUUGUAAUGACUGAAGACCAGAAAGAGUGUUUAAUAAAGUCACUUCGCAACAAGAACAUGUACCCGCUCGACAUCAACAUGAUUAUUGGUAAACCACAACUCUGGCUUCUCUCAAAAGUCGUUCCUGACGUCAGUUGGUUAUGGCACCGAAGACUCGCUCAUCUGAACUUUCAGUACAUGAAUGAUCUUGUAUCCGGUGAAAUGGUGAGAGGCUUACCUCUUCCCAAAUUUGAAAAUGAUCAUUUGUGUGCUGCUUGUGAGUGUGGAAAGCAAUCGAAGAAGGGUCAUCCUGUUAUCAUCGAAAAAUCCAUCUCAGAACCAUUGGAGCUUCUAUACAUCGAAAUACAUUCUUCUGAUUGUUGAUGACUUUACAAGGUUCACUUGGGUCUUCUUCCUAAGGCUGAAAUCCGAAUCAACCUCGGAGCUCAUCAAUUUUAUCAAAGGAACAGAAGUUCUUAUCAAAAUCCCAGUUAAGAGAAUCCGAAGUGACAAUGGCUCGGAAUUCAGUAAUUCCACCAUUGAGAAAUUCCUCACCGCGAAAGGAAUUGACCACAACUUCUCAACUCCUUACACUCCACAACAGAAUGGUGUAGUCGAAAGACGCAAUAAAACUCUUGUUGAAGCAGCUCGUUCCAUAUUAAACUUCACAAAUCUACCACUCUACCUCUGGGUUGAAGCUGUAUCAACUGCCUACUUCACUCAAAAUUGAAGCAUCAUCAAUCGAUGCCUCAACAUGACACUAUACGAAGAAAAGAAUGGUUUGAAACCAACAAUCUUGUUUCUUUAUGUUUUUGGAUUUAGAUGCUUCAUCAAAAACAACUGAGAUCAGCUUACCAAGUUCCAACCUAAAGCUGAUGAAGCCAUCUUCCUUGGGUACUCUUCUAAAUCAAAAGUUAACAGAGUUCUUAAUCGAAGAACUCGUGUUCUGGAAGAAAAGCUUUGAUGUUACUUUCGAUGACUACUUUGUUCGGAAUUCUGGACCAACCCAUUUUACAACUCACAUUAUGGAGUCCGAUGCUCCACCGCUAGGAUGUCCGAACCCGCAAACAAUUCUUGAAGUUGAUUUUGAAACUCUCUUUGGAACUUCCGAAACAGCCCUUGAUUUGGAAUCUCGAACAAGUCCAAUCCCCACUUCCAUCUCUCCUUCGGAAGCUCCUGUCUCUCAAAAUGUCUCAGGUUCAAUCCCAAGCCUCCCUCCAUUUGAUUCUGAACUGUUUCAACCUUAUCAGGUUGAGGGGGAGAAUGCUCAUCCCUCUCUUGAAUCAAAUGUGGAUGGCUUUCUAGAUGCAGCUGCUGACUUCAACGACUCCAAUCCUAUCAACAUUGAUGAAAAUGAAAAUUUCUUUAAGAUCCCUUCUGAUGAUGAUGUCAACCUCUCCAUUGCAGAAGUUCAUGGGGAGCAUCAUCCUCAUGUUCAAACCAUUCAGGGGAGCAACUCAAUCCUACUGUUGAUAUCGGAUUGACUGUUACACAAGAACUCCCAAGGUUACACGUCUGGACAAAGGAUUAUCCUCCGAACCAAGUAAUCGGAAACCCUAACGCUGGUGUAUAGACUCGUUCUGCUACAAGUAUCCAAAAUGAAUGCUAUUUCUCGGCAUUUAUAUCCAUGGUUGAAUCCAAAUCUAUCAAGGAAGCAUUAGAGCAUGCUGACCAGAUUACAGCCAUGCAAGAAGAAUUGGUAGAAUUUGAUAGAAAUAAAGUAUGGACUCUCGUGUCUCCUCCUUAGAAUCAUUCCAUUGUCGGUACGAGAUGGGUAUUUCGCAACAAGCUAGAUGAUGCAGGAGUUAUUAUUUGAAAUAAAGCAAGAUUUGUGGCAAAAGGAUUUACUCAGAUUGAAGGGCUCGACUACGAUGAGACCUUUGCUCCUAUUGCACGUCUUGAAACCAUCAGAAUCUUUCUUGGUUAUGCUGCUCACAAAGGCUUCAAAGUUUACCAAAUGGAUGUUAAGAGCGAUUUUCUUAAUGGUGAACUUGACACUGAAGUAUAUCUUUAACAGCCCCCCGAUUUUGUUAAUCUCUCCUUUCCAAACUACUGUUACAAACUCCGGAAGGCAUUCUACGGUCUCAAGCAGGCUCCUCGGGCAUGGUACGAGACCCUCACUGACUUUUUCAAGCGCUCCGGUUUCCAAAGAGGAAUUGUAGAUCCUACCUUGUUCCGAAGAUCAAAUGGAAAGCAUCUCAUGUUGGUUCAAAUUUAUGUGGAUGACAUCAUUUUUGGAUCUACGGAUUCAUCUAUGGUUGUUGACUUUGCUAAACUAAUGAUCAAUCGUUUCCAAAUGAGCAUGAAUCGAGAGUUAAGCAUCUUUCUUGGCCUCCAAGUCAAAUAGACUAACAGUGGAAUCUUCAUUCACCAAGAGAAGUACAUAUUGGAACUCCUCAAGAAAUACUCAAUGGACACAUGUGCCUCCACUAUGGUACCAAUGGGCUUAGGACACAAGAUCCAUGCCAACCUUUCAAGUGUACCAUUUGAUGAAAAGAAGUACCGAGGAAUGAGAGGAUAUCUGCUCUAUAUCAUAGCAAGUCAUCCGGAUAUCAUGUUUUCCACAUGUCUAAUGCCAGAUUUGAAGUCAACCCAAAGAUGUCUCAUCUCUUGGCUGUGAACCAAAUUUUCCAAUACCUCAAAGGUACAAAGAGUCUCAGAAUCUGGUACCCAGCAAAUGAGAGCUUCCUACUUCAAACAUAUUCAGAUUCAAACUAUGGUGGUAUUCAACUUGAUAGAAAAAGCACAUCAGGUGGCUGUUAGUUCUUAGGUGGUUGUUUCGUUAGUUGGUCAUCCAAGAAACAGAACCGUAUUGCACUCUCUACAGUCGAAGUCGGACACAUUGCUGCUGCUAGCUGUACAUCUCAGGUUCUGUGGAUGAAAUCUCAACUUUUGGAUUAUGGUUACCGCUUUCAAUGCAUUCCUAUUUAUUGUGAUUCUCAAUGUGCCAUUGUGAUUUCACACAAUCGAAUUCAGCACUCAAUGACUAAGCACAUUGAUAUAAGGUACCAUUUUAUAAAAGAUCAUGUUCUAAAUGGUAACAUUUAACUCAUUUUUGUUCCAUAUAAUGAUGAGAUUGUUGAUGUCUUUACUAAGGAAUUAGACAAAACCCAAUUCAAUGGUUUUUUGAACAAGAUGGGUAUGAUGAUGCCAGAUCCUCGGUUCUUUCAAGAGACUUGUUCUCUUUGAUGGAACUAUUUGAAAGAAAAUUAGUUCUGUUAAAAAAAAGCAUUUAUCAUCUUGGAACUACUUUCUGUCGGAAGACAUAGGAUCAUUUCACUUGUCUUGAUCUCUGACCAUCACUUGAGUUUUAACCUGUACAGUUCAUCCUGAUUAUUUUCUAUUUAAAGUCCACAUAGUCAUAGUGAUCAAAUUUUCAUCUCGGAAUAUACUUCAUAAUGGCAUCCCCAAAUUCCACUCCAGAAAGGUAUUGCAUUCUGCACUUCGGAAAUUUCAAAAUUCACUCUGGAUGUUUUUCUCAAAUCUUAUUCCGAAAUGUUUUACAAAUCAUGUUCCGAAAACUUCUUCAAAUCCCUUCCAGAAAUUCUUUAAAAUCUCUAUUGCGGUAUUUUGCUCCGAAAUCAUAAACUUUUUUUUGGAAUCACAAUCAAUUUUUAACUCCAGAGUUGAAUUUCUUUUUAACCAGAAACUCUCUCCAGAUUAUUUCCCAUUUUGGACCAUUUUUCAAAAGACCAUGUUCCGGAGCUCAAUUCUUUAUCCUUCGGAUCUUACACUGUUCGAAACUGCUCAUCCGGAAUUCCAAAGGUUUAUAAGGCGAAACGUUUUCUACUGCAACAGUUACUUGGUGAGGAUCCUUAUCCAAUAUUCCUUGAUUUUCGUGUCACAACUACACGUCUUCAAAAGCAACCAUCCAAUCGUAGUUUGGGUUUUCUAUUUUAAACUUAAAACAACACUACAUUUCCCUUCCCAAGUCAACUCAACCUCCAAAAGCCGUUUUUCAUUAAUGCAACCCGGUUCAAAUCGGGUUGAAAAUUCAGACCCUCAUCAUUACCAUCCUUGAGCCGACCCAUUUCCCUUACCUAUAUAUACCCAUCAUAAACCCACUUUUACCUCUUUACAUGCUCAAACCCUCCAAAUCUUCAAAUUAUCUCAGUGUUCAUCAUGUUCUUCAAGCACUCAUCCGUCUGCAACAACGGCCUCCAAAUCUUUUCCACAGAAAAAUGCACCAACUGCCUUCACUCCCAAGAAAUCGAUUGCAACGAAGAAAUCUUCCAAGGGACCAUCAUCUUCUAUAUAGUCUGAACCCUUUCUCAGGGAUACAACUCUGUUGUUUUCACUAAACCCUAUGGAUGACGACGAAUCCAUUAGAGUUAUGAUCGAGUUCAUAGCAAACCAUCCCAUCUCCAUUCCUCUCACUAAAGUCCCUAAACCACCUCUUCCACUUCAUCAUCUCCACAGGGCUUUCACAAGAAUCAAAGAGGAAGACGGUGUAUUGGAAACAAAAAUCAUUGGUGACAGAAUCAUACCCAUCUACAAGUCGACGUUCCUCAAAGCAAUCGGUGUAAAAUAAAACCCCACGGGUUUCAAAGUUCAAGAACCCACUACAGAAGAGUUUCAAUUUUUCUUGAAUCACAUAGGAUACAACCAAGACUACAAGGCAAAAGACUUCAAGAAAUCAGUCGUUUCCAGACUCUGUACCAUGCUGAUGCAUAUUUUCAUUCGAGGACUUUCCGGAAAGCACGACGAUACAGAUACUCUUAGCAAGGACUAGCUAUAUGUGGUUUACUUCAUCUAAUCCGAACGCGAUAAUGCGGUUGACCUUCCGGAAGUGCUAUGGCAAGACUUCUGUAAGUUUGCCAUCAAGAGAAAGGAAAAUGAGAUUUCAAGCCCCAGGUUCUGGGCUCUAACGAUUCAACAACUCUUCAAGGAGCUUUCCGAACCUCUUCAUGUACCUGUGAUUCCUCCAGAGGUAUGCAUUUCUUUCAAGGCUGUUAAAUCAUAUAGAAUUCCGGACCAAUCCUCUUUUGGUUCUGUCCGGAGGUUACCUCAACAUAUGUUGGAUAUCAUCCCUUUCGAUUCUAUUCAUUUACAAAAACAUUUGGAGACUUCGACUGUGUUUGACCCAACACAGUUUGCCCCAGUCCCCAUUGAGCCCAUUUCGGAAGUGGCUAUGCCAACAUCUUCCAGACCGAGGAAGACCAACAAGUCCGCCAAGAUGAAAACUUUCCCUAAUAAGUCAAAGCCAAAAAAGAAAUCCAAAGUCAGUUCCUCUUCUCAACAGGAAGGACCUCAUGACAUUCAAGCUGAUUCUGGCCAUCCGAACACCCCUCCUUCCCACUCAUCCGAGGUAACCCUAGGUGAUUCAAAAUCACAAGUAUACACUCACGGGGAGUCUCCACAUAAUCCAUCCUCACCUUCUCAAAAAGGCAUUACUGGUGUUGAACAUAGUUCCUUGCCCCCUGGAACACACCCAAGUGUCACAUUUGAUAUUCCUAUUGUUUCUUCCUCACUCACAAACAUCGGAACCCAUGUUACGGACCCUAAGCAUUCCAAAGUUGGAGUAGUCCCUCCGACUUCGGAUGCCACAACUGGUUUAAUACCCGUAAGGUGUACAGGACGACCAGGAGUUAACAAUCCCAAGUGGGAAGAUUAUAUGAACAGGGUUGUAUCCAGACGUCCAGAUCUUACAAGAGCUCAGGUGGAGGCCACGCUUAUUUCAAUGAGUAACAAAGCUAUUCAAAGCAAUCUUCCCUACGUUCCUCCCACUGAUGCUGAUGCCGACGAAGAGCUUGUUUCGGAACAACCACCAGUCAACCCUUACAACUACUUCAUCCAAACCGAUCUGGAUGAAGAACUCUCUGAAGAAGUUAUGCUAACUGAUGAAGGAAAAACGGUUCUGGACAUAGAUAUGAAGUCUCACAUUCAAAGUACAUUCCUUUGAACAUCCUUCUUGCAUAAAAGUAUCUAAUCUAGACAUAGAUUCUUGAUAUCCAACUUCCAUUUAAGGAAACAUUUCCAUAUUUUCCAUAUGACCACCCAUUCUAAAUAGAGUCCUAUCUAUUCAUAAUAAUGUCAAUAUGGUCCAUUUGUUACUAUACUUCCAACUGCUCACGAGUGACUAAUCCUUGUCAAACCUUAGAUCGUCAUUGACAGUUGUUUAAUUAUUUUAGUCAAAUCCGGUUCUAGUCCUUUUUCCCUCUUAAUUCCCUAAGCAUUUGGAAAAUUUAGAACUUUCAAAUAUUUCAGCAUAUGCAAUUAAUCCUAUAUCUGAAGCGUAUGGGACAUGAUUCAUAAUGAAAAACGUGAUACUUUACCAGUUUCUUGCUAUAAUACUGUCAUAUAUAAAAUUCCCUUAUGUUGAAUCUUUUCAGCAAAACAUUUAUAUAUUUCCUUUGACUAAAUUUGAUUAAAAUUUCUCGAUCUAAGCUUUUAGAUUUCAAAUGAAGUAUAAUAUUCUCUCCCUUAAUUAUAGUAGAACAAUUUUUCAACCCUUGCAACUUUGCGAAUUGAAACUUUUGUUUUCUAUAAUUAAUAUUGCUAACCAUAAUAAUCAGGCUCCGACUAACAUGAUAAUUAUAUUCAGCAUAACACUUAUGCUCCCACUAGCUUUGACAUGUAUUCAGAAAUUAACUGAACUUCUAGAAAUCAAUGCUUGUUGACUUUCUUACAAAAGUUCAUAUUUAUGAUACUAGAUGUUUCGAUAAGCCUUUAUCUAAGCUUCUCAAACUCAUACAUCUUUCCUUAGAUAACUCACAUGUGUGUCUAAACCAUUUCAGAACCUACAACAGUAAGUCCCGAAUGUUCAGACUUAUUUCCAUUUCUCACAAUUCGAAAAUUGAAGAGGAAUGUCGUAAUCAUAAUUUAAUUUGAGAAUGCAAAUAUCACAAUUGCUAUCUCUUUAAAAUCUCUCAUAGUGAAAGCAUUUCCUCACAAUCAUUUUCAUGAAAUGGAGAGAAACCUUAUGACACUUAGAUUUUUUAGUGUAUGUGUUCCUAUCCACGUGAAUUUUUCAUAACUAUAAUCAUAAGACAAUGUUUGUGAGAAAUCCAAACUCAUAUGGACUGAACUUGUUCAUUCUUAAUUUCUUGCUGCCUAGCAGCACAAGGGCCUACCAUGUCUUCCAAGUUGAGUAGAUCACCCAUAAAAAAUCAAUGAACAUUCAUUGAUUUAGGUGUUUUUGCCUUUAUGCUUUCAAAUGAGAACUCAUAGAACUCACAUGCAUAGUCAACUCAAAUGGAAUGGCAUAGAAACAAGAAUGUGUCAACACGAUAGGUUGUAAAACUUCAAGUCGUGUGCUAGUGUUUAAAAACAGGUUUAGUCUUGAUUAGUACUUGAACCUUUUCAAGAUCAUUUAGACUCCCACUAACCUCUUGACAUAAAAGAUUCUCCAGUCAAGAAACAUUCCUUCACAAACAAAUAUUCAAGAGUUGGUGCGGAUUCUUACCAACACAGACACUUCACACAAUUGGUCCUAGUUGGUCUUUAUCUUAUCUAAGACAUCACAACUUACCAAUUUCAAAUAUGUAAGAGUAAGAAAAAUUUUCUACUCCGCAUUCGAUGAGUGUUAUAAACCUUUUUAAGAUGAUGUCACUCAAGUCACAAUCUUAAAGUAUGACUCCAAGGCUCGAUUUUGGAACGAAGUAUGAUUCACCUUUUGAUUUAACCAUUUCAACAAUUUUCAAUUCCUCUACUUAGCCAUACUAGUGCACUAAGUUGUCCCUGGAGGAUCAAUUGUGAUACAAUUUCAUAAUCAUUCAGACGGUCAUAAAACAUGAUAGAAAAGUACUCUCCCUUAUUUCCAGAUUGGAGAAGCCUUUUAUCUUUCUGCCUUAUUGAUUCUUCUUAUUCGUUCUGCCAUACAUUGAAACUUUUCAAUGAUUCAGAAUUACACUUAAUCUUGUAAGUACAACCAUAUUUACUACACUUUUAGCAAAUCAUGACGAAUACUCUUAUCGUUCUUUGUGCUGGACUUGACCUAGUUCACAACAAUGCGUACUAGAUCCUUUAUUUCUUCAUUUGACUCACAUACUUAUGUGAACAAGGAAUUAGUCUUAAUUUCCCAAAUACGAAGGUUCUCAUUCAUCAUACAAUACAAGUCGCAUGAUUCCAAGUUUCUGUCCAAUUGAAACUUGGGUAAUGAGAAUCUUCCUUAUUUGGUAAAUUUUGACACUACCACAAACAACAAAACUAAGAAUCACAUCUUUUUCAAUAUUGCUAUCAAUAGAAACAUAUAAACAUCAAUUUUCAAAAAUGUCAUUGCAAGGAUAUAUAAAUAAGACAAAAACAAAAUUUAUUUUAUUUAUAAAAAACACGAAAAAAAACUUGUCCUUACAAUGCAAUAUCAAAUGAAAACUAUGUUACUAAAUAUUCCAAAGCAAUCUAUCCUAACUCUUAAACAGCAGCUAAAAAUCUGAUCUACGAACAAUGCAAUCGAAAUCCAUUUCUUCGCAAUCAAACUUAACUCAUCCUUUAAGCUUCCUUUCUUUUCUUCGAUCCUACAAAACAUCAAAAUGCAAUCUUAUCACAUCAUGUAUUAACAAUCUACAAAUAAGAACUUAAUAGAGUUAGAUAAUGGAUUUUACCUGAAUCAAAGCCAUACAUCUUGACUCUCCCAUCUUUUAGAUCACUAAGGUAGUCAGGGCAGCUUCGUAACCAACGCCCCUUCUCUUGGCAGUAGAAACAUAUGGACUCUUUUGGAAUGGUACAUGGGACUAUCUCAGACUCAGCCUUUCUCUUGCAUAGAGAAAACUUUUCUGGACUUCAAUGUUGCCAAUGCCCAUAGAAGGUUGGGACAUUGAUUUACCAGACCAAUUUGCUUGACCGGUCGGCCAAAUCAUUGUUGAUUCAUUAGCAAUAAGCAAAUAGGUAAGAUCAAUGAGGGCCACGUCGUCGUCAAUCAUAUAGUACUCUCUAAUUAAGUCAUUGUUGGAAUAGUGUCUAAGGCUGCAACUAUAUUAGGCAAGUAUUUGACCCGGUUGUGCAUGGUCCUUUUGGGUUGCCUUCCCCAUAGCAACUUGAUAGGAUGAUUUAUAAUGAGAGAAGAAAUAUUAUUAAUAUAUUAUGAGAAUAAUACAAGGAAUAAUAAUAUUAUUAUUUGAUUAAUAUAAGUCAUAAAUUAAUUAGGAAUUAAUUUGGUGACUUAAAAGAGAUUAAUUAAAUAGAAGUGCAUAAACUGUCAAUUGUAUGAUAAUUGUACUUUGGGCUAUAAUCCCUUAUGGAUAAGGGGUGGACGGUUUUAGGGGCUUAGGAUAGACCUAGAAUUCGUCCAAGGCUUAUCAUUAGGGUAUUGGAUUGCUUAGGGCCUAAGUUAUCCAAAUAGGGUUUAAGGGUGAAACCCUAGGAGCCUUAUAAGUAUAAAUAGACCCAAGAGGUUAAUGAAAUCGGUACUCUUGCCUUUGGAAGAACCCUGGCCAAUUUCUAGCUCCCUCCCCUCUCUCUCUCUAAUCAUCAUCUUGCUAAGUUGGUGUUUGUAAGCCAUUAGAGGAGUGACAAUUGUGACUCUAAGCUCCAAGGACAAGAAGAUUCAAGCAAGCAACAUAAGGUAAUCUUCUAGAUCUGUUUUUCUUAUGUUAUUACCUAGAUCUAUUGUUCAAAAGUCUUGGAUUCAAUGCAUGUUCAAUUAGAGAAACCUAGAUCCAAGAAUUAGGGUUUGUAUGUGCACAUAGGAAUGUUCAUAUGGCCAAAACCCAUUAGUGGUAUCAGAGUCUUUAUUGGUUUCUAUUGAAUUGAUGCAUUGGUUGCUUGUUUGUUGCUUGCAAAAUUCAAAUUUUGUCAUUCUGCCUGAUGAACUCGGCGAGUUCCAUAGUGGAUUCGGCGAGUAGGCCACAACUCGGCGAGUCCAUUGUGGUACUCGGCGAGUUCGAGCGUCAGAAAGAGCUAAUUUCGGGAUUUCUUGCUAUUUAUCUUUUGGAUACUUACCUUAAUCUUAAUAGGUCAAUAUAAAUCCGAUUUUAAGAUAUAUUUGAGUAUAUUCUUGACCAAAUUGAAGAUAUUUAUCAAUUAAUUGAAUAUUAUUUUCCAUAUGGGAUAAUUCAUUAAUUAUUUUAAUUAAAUUGGUAAAUUGUUUUGCAAGAAAUAAUUAAAUAAAUCAAAUAUGGAUAAUUAUGUGAUUAAAUGUUAAUUUGGAUUAUUUGUUAUUUGAUCCCCUAUGUUUUGAAAAGUUUAAAACUUGCCCUCAAGAUUUGAAAUUUAUGCUUUGUGAUUAAAAGUUUAAUUUAGACAAUUUAAAUUUCAAACCCUAGAAUUUUACAAGUUUAAAAUUCAACCCUAUACUAAUAUAAUAUUACAAGAUUAAUAUAUAUAUAUAUGUAUAAUUAAAAAUGCUAGUCUUACCGUUAGUAGGCCUCAUUCACGAAGUCGGUCUAUAAGGUGGGUAUAAGGUUGCGGCCUAUAAAAUGGCGCUUAAUGGGUGUACACUCACACCCACCGCUUGNAAGUGAAUUGAUGCAAUCCCAUGAAAUUACACUUUGCACCCUUGCUAAGAAGUUAGUGGAGCGUGUGUGGUUUACCGGCACACUAAUUGGUUCUAAGCAAAGGUGGCAAAGGGUGAUUCAUUGUUUAUCAUAGUUCGAUGGAGCGUGUGUGGUUUACCGGCACAUCGAAUAGGUGAUUGCUACAAUGAAGGCACCGUGUGAAUUUGCAUGGUAAUUCACACCCACUUUGUGAUCCUCGGUAUCCCAGUCACAAACGAGAGGGGCGUAUCGAGAUUUAAACAUGCCAUUGAAAAGUUCAAUGAAUCUCAUCAAAACUUAGGAAUUCUCAAUACAUUUAGAACUUAAAGUUAGGUUUUCAUGGUGGAGAAUUAGUGAAUCACCAUUCACUUAUCUUCAAGUUGUUUGCAUGUUAGAUUACGGCAUCCCUUUUCUAAUAUGUAAAUAUUGUUGUUGGAUCCUAGCCCUAAUUUUUCUUAUUGGGUGACAAUUAGGGAUUCAAAUUCUAAUCUAUCUUUGUCCUUUCUAUUUAUAGAUGUCGAACGCGAACAACGCUGCUGCUAGCUCGUUCACAUUGAUGAGCCUUUGCCAAAAGGUGACUUUCGAUGGGACGAACUUUAGUGAAUGGAUAAGAUACAUUCGCACGGUUACUCGCUACGAGGACAAGGAGUAUGUCCUCGAUGAGAAGCUCGAGAAGAUCAACCCAGAAAUCGCUACUCCGGCUGAAAUGACUGCUUUUGAGACUCAUGAACGUGAUGCGACGAAGGUUCAUUGCAUCAUGAUAGCCACAAUGAACGCUGAAUUCCAAAAGUCUUAUGAGGACAUGUAUCCGUACGAAAUGCACCAAGACUUGUUGGAGAGAUACCAUCAAAACGCAAGGCAGAAACGUUACGAGAUUUUCACUAACAUUGUCUCCGCUAAAAUGGGACAUGGACAAUCUCUAACCGUUCACCUGCAAAAGAUGCAAAGGUAUGUCGAUUGUAUUCGCAAGUUGAAUGUUGACUUUGGGGAAGACUUGGCUAUCGACAUGGUGCUUCACUUCUUGCCUCUGUGUUACAACCAAUUUAGGAUGACCUACCACAUGAACAAAGAAGAGGUCACCCUAAGUAAGCUCCAAGUUCUCCUUAGGGUUGCUGAGAGCAACCUCAAGGACAAGUCUUUUGCACCAUCUCCCAAUCCACCAGCUGCUCCUGUUUUGGCAAUUGGGCAAGGUAGGGGUAUGAAGAGGAAGGCUCCGUCUAAAAGCUACCGCAAGGGAAAGUCCCGAGAUGGUUCCUCUUCUAGUGGGACCAAAGUUGAUCCUGCUAAGCCUAACCCUAACCCAAAGGAGGCAGAGUGCCACCAUUGCCACAAAAUAGGGCAUUGGAAGAGAAGCUGCCCAGACUACCUGCAAGCCAUCAGGGAAGGAAAGAUCAAGCCGUCUUUCGCAGGUAUAUACACAAUUAAAUCUAAUGAUUCAUCUCAUGCUAUUUCUUGGGUCCUUGAUACCGGGUGUGGUUACCACAUUUGUUCUGAAUUGCAGGGACUAAGAAGAAAUAGGGAUGUGGAGCAUGGAAGAAUAAAUCUAAUCAUGGGGAACAGAAGAUCGUCGCCGGUGACCAAGAUUGGAGUGUAUUCUCUAGUGCUUAGGAAUGGUUUAUGUUUAGAUUUGAAUAAUUGUUGCUAUUCGCCAGAAAUUGCAAGAAACAUCAUUUCAUUUCAUGGUUUGUUUAGACAAGGAUUUAGAUUUUCUUUUAAUAAUGAGAAUGGUUCUAUUUGUGCUUAUCUAAAUGUCUUAUAUUUUGAAGCAAUACCAUGUAAUGGAAUUUAUGAAACUGUUAUGAUUGUAGAUAACCUAGGAAAUGAUGUUUUAUGCAUGGAUUCUUCCAAUAGUAUGGAUAAAGCAUCCGUGUGGCAUUGUCGUCUUGGACAUGUCAACAAGAAGCGCAUAGCCCAACUCCAAAAGGAUGGAGUGUUGGAGUCAUUCGACCUUAGGGAAGAUGACACAUGCGAGUCUUGUUUACUUGGAAAGAUGACCAAGUCACCCUUCACUAGUACAUGUGAAAGGGGUGAGGGUCUAUUGGACCUCAUACAUACCGAUGUAUGUGGACCCUUUAGAUCAACCACAAAGGAUGGGAACCGCUUCUAUGUGACUUUUACCGAUGACUAUAGUAGAUAUGGGUAUAUCUACUUAAUCAAGCAAAAGUCAGAAACGUUUGAAAAGUUCAAAGAGUUCAAGAAUGAAGUGGAGAAUCAAUUGGGCAGGAAAAUCAAGAUGCUUCGAUCCGAUCGAGGAGGAGAGUACCUAAGUCUUGAAUUCCACGACUAUCUCAAGGAGUGUGGAAUAGUUUCACAAUUGACGCCACCUAGGACACCGCAGUUGAAUGGUGUGGCAGAAAGGCGUAAUCGAACCUUGUUAGACAUGGUCCGCUCUAUGAUGAGUCGUGCUUCACUAUCUAUCUCAUUCUGGGGGUAUGCCUUAGAGACUGCCGCCCAUAUCCUUAACCGAGUCCCUACUAAGAAGGUUGCCAAAACACCUCACGAGAUGUGGACAGGGAAAGCUCCCUCGUUAGCACAUAUCAAGGUUUGGGGUUGCGAGGCUUUCGUAAGACGAGAUACUCACGACAAGCUUGAACCUCGAAGUGAGCGAUGUAUUUUCAUCGGCUACCCGCAGACAUCCUUUGGAUAUCUCUUCUAUAGACCGAAGGACAAUGUUGUCUUCGUUGCGAGGAGAGGAGUUUUCCGAGAGCGAGAACUCAUAAGCCAAGGAGACAGUGGGAGGCAAAUCGAACUUGAAGAGAUUCAAGAGUCGAUAGAUGAAGGAACCUCUACCGCUGGCACUCAACCCGAGGAGGAAACUCCGGUUGAACCGAUUGACGAGUCCUUACCUCUUAGACGUUCCGAAAGAGUUAGAGUUCAACCCCAGUUUUAUGGUUUUCAUAUUACUACCGAAGGGGACACGUAUAUUAGUGAUGGUACACUAAUAAAUUUAGAUGAACCUAAUAGCUAUAAAGAAGCCAUGGCAGGCCCGGAGUAUGCGAAAUGGAAAGAGGCAAUAGAUAGCGAGAUCCAAUCCAUGUAUGAUAACCAAGUUUGGAAUUUGGUUGAUUAUGUGCCCGGACGUAAGACCGUUGGGUGCAAGUGGAUCUUGAAGAAGAAGAUCGACGUGGAUGGAAAGGUAUACACAUAUAAAGCACGACUGGUUGCGAAGGGCUUUACUCAAACUCCCGGAGUUGACUAUGAUGAGACCUUCUCACCAGUCGCGAAGAUUAAAUCUAUUAGAGUGAUGCUAGCAAUUGCCGCAUUUCAUGAUUAUGAUAUUUGGCAAAUGGAUGUCAAGACCGCUUUCCUUAACGGAAAGUUGGCUGAGGAUGUUUACAUGGCUCAGCCAGAGGGGUUUGUGGAUCCGAAGCAUCCAAAUAGAGUGUGUAAGCUUGAGAAGUCCAUUUAUGGACUUAAGCAAGCAUCUCGCAGAUGGAAUCUUUGCUUCGAUGAGAAAGUCAAAGAGUUUGGAUUUGUACGAAGCGAAGAUGAAUCAUGUGUAUAUGUCAAAUCUAGUGGGAGUAUAGUAAGCUUCCUCGUUUUGUAUGUCGAUGACAUACUACUCAUAGGAAACGACGUCCCGACACUGCAGGAGGUCAAGUCCUGGCUUGGGAAGUGCUUCGCUAUGAAGGACCUCGGAGAGGCUUCUUACAUUUUGGGAAUAAGGAUAGUAAGAGAAAGAAGUAAGAGACUAAUUGGACUUAGUCAGAAUACUUACUUAGAGAAGGUACUAAAACGUUUUAGUAUGGAAAACUCAAAGAAGGGAGAACUACCGAUACAAAGUAAUGCCAAAUUGAGUAAGACUCAAAGUCCGAGUACCGAAGCUGAGAUAGCAGAAAUGAGCCGAGUACCAUACGCUUCCGCAGUUGGCUCAAUCAUGUACGCUAUGACUUGUACUCGCCCUGAUGUAGCCUUCGCUUUGAGCAUGGUUAGCAGAUAUCAAGGGAAUCCUGGCAAAGCACAUUGGAUUGCGGUGAAGAAUAUCCUUAAGUACCUUCGGAGGACGAAGGAAUGGUUCUUAGUCCUCGGAGGGAGUGAUGACUUGAAGGUGCGAGGGUAUAGUGACGCCAACUUUCAGACAAACAGGGACAACUACCGUUCGCAGUCGGGUUGGGUCUUUAUCCUGAAUGGAGGAGCAGUGACAUGGAAAAGUUCCAAGCAGGAAACCGUAGCUGAUUCAACGUGCGAAUCAGAGUACAUUGCAGCGAGCGAAGCGUCGAAGGAGGCAAUAUGGCUAAAGAACUUCAUCGGUGAUCUUGGAGUUGUACCUGCCAUAAAGGAGCCCAUGGAGAUUUUCUGUGAUAACGAAGGAGCGGUUGCCUUGACCAAGGAACCGAGGGAUCAUGGUAGAUCANNNNNNNNNNNNNNNNNNNNNNNNNNNNNNNNNNNNNNNNNNNNNNNNNNNNNNNNNNNNNNNNNNNNNNNNNNNNNNNNNNNNNNNNNNNNNNNNNNNNNNNNNNNNNNNNNNNNNNNNNNNNNNNNNNNNNNNNNNNNNNNNNNNNNNNNNNNNNNNNNNNNNNNNNNNNNNNNNNNNUGUUGGAAUAGUGUCUAAGGCUGCAACUAUAUUAGGCAAGUAUUUGACCCGGUUGUGCAUGGUCCUUUUGGGUUGCCUUCACCAUAGCAACUUGACAAGAUGAUUUAUAAUGAGAGAAGAAAUAUUAUUAAUAUAUUAUGAGAAUAAUAUAAGGAAUAAUAAUAUUAUUAUUUGAUUAAUAUAAGUCAUAAACUAAUUAGGAAUAAUUUGGUGACUUAAAGAGAUUAAUUAAAUAGAAAGGCAUAAACUGUCAAUUGUAUGAUAGUUGUACUUUGGGCUAUAAUCCCUUGUGGAUAAGGGGUGGACGGUUUCAGGUGCUUAGGAUAGACCUAGAAUUCUUCCAAGGCUUAUCAUUAGGGUAUUGGAUUGCUUAGGGCCUAAGUUAUCCAAUUAGGGUUUAAGGGUGAAACCCUAGGAGCCUUACAAGUAUAAAUAGACCCAAGGGGUUAAUGAAAUCGGUACUCUUGCCUUUGGAGGAACCCUAGCCGAUUUCUAGCUCCCUCCCCUCUCUCUCUAAUCAUCCUCUUGCUAAGUUGGUGUUUGUAAGCCAUUAGAGGAGUGACAAUUGUGACUCUAAGCUCCAAGGACAAGAAGAUUCAAGCAAGCAACUUAAGGUAAUCUUCUAGAUCUGUUUUUCUUAUGUUAUUACCUAGAUCUAUUGUUCAAAAGUCUUGGAUUCAAUGCAUGUUCAAUUAGAGAAACCUAGAUCCAAGCAUUAGGGUUUGUAUGUGCACAUAGGAAUGUUCAUAUGGCCAAAACCCAUUAGUCACUAUAUGAGUUAGGAAGUGAUUGAAGAACCUAGUCAACAGCCAACUUCCUUGAGACAUCAACACCCAACAUCCUCAACAUGUCAAUGUGUGACUUCAUCUAUAAGAUGUGUGCACACACAAACUUUUCAUAUCCGUGUCUUUUUUCCAAUAGGGCUUUAGUGACAUUGAACUUUUCAAGUCUUCGAACACGUGGGUCAGCGAGAAUUAUUGGAGGAGGUGGAGGAAGUGAAGCAGGAUUUUCAUUUCCACAAUCCAAUCAUGGAACAUCAUCUUUAUUUGGAAAACUCUUUCCAAAGGAUUCGGGAAGAUCAUAGUUGAUAGACUUUGACAUCUACAAAACAGGAGAAAUUCAAGUUAGUUAAUUGAGUCCUUAAUAAAACACAUAAAUGAGAUAUUAAGGAUAGGACCCAACACAAUAUUCUUCAACUUGGAAGAGGGAUGCUGUAAUCCAGUUGCAGAAUAUUUGAAGGUAGGUAAAUGACGAUUUACCAAUUUCCACCAUGAAAAACAAAAAUGAAACCUAAGUUUUAAACGAAUUGAAACUCCUAGAUUUUUUAAGAUUCAUCGAACUUUUCAAUGUCAUGUUUAAAGCUCGAUUAUGUCCUUCAAGUUUGUGACUGGGAUGCCGAGGACCACAAACAAGGUGUGGACAACCAUGCAAAUUAGCUUAGUACUCUCGAAGAUGUCAAUCACCUAAUCAAUGUUCCGGUUAACCGCACACGCUCCAUUGAUCUAUGAUAAUCUACGAGCUACCCAUUGUCAACCUUAAUUGGUCCCAUAUUAGUGUGCCGGUUAACCACACAUGCUCCACUAACGACCAAGAAGGUGCAAUGUGCAAUUUCAUGGAUUAGCACUAAUUCCAAAUUAUCGCUAAAGUAACUAAGAUUUGGGAAUUUAUAAGAGUGUUUAGUUACUUCGUACUUCAUUAUACUUAUAAUGGAAGGUUAUGUCAUAUCCUACCCGUUCGGCUAACAACCCUCCACUAGUCAAGAGUGCGGUGGGUAAGAGUGGAUACUCAUUCAAUCAUCAUUGUAUAGACAAUUUCCUUAAACACCCCUUAUAGACUAGCUUCGUGAAUAAGGCCUACUAACGGCAAAACUGACAUUUUACUUAUACAUAUAUAAUAUUAAACUUUUAAUUUUAUAUAGUACAAGGGUGUAUUUUACACUUUUAAAAUAUCAUUUGGUUCAAUCUAUUAAUAAAUUAAACUUUUAGUUUGAUUAAUCUUAAACCAUAUAAUUAUGGAUUUAUUAGUUAUGUCUUUUAAUUAAACACUUAAUUAAUUUAAUAAAACCAUAAGGGUGUAAUUUGAACUUUUCAAAGUACUAGGGUUUUAGAAUUCAAUAUUUCAAUAUUAAUACCUUUUAAUUAAAAUUUAAAUUCCAAAACUUGAGGACAAAUUUUGAAACCUUUCAAAUUAUUAGGGUUUAACUAUUUAACUUUCAAAAACUAAAACUUUUAAGUUCAAAUCUAAACUAUAAAACCUCCAAGGUGUAAAUUGAAACUUUUCAAACUUAGUAGGUCAAAUAUUUGACUCAUAAUAAUCCUGUAUUAUCCAAAUUUAACCAAAACCAUUAAUUUAGAUAAGGAUAAUCAUUCCAAACAUAAAAAAUCAGUUUUAGGCAAUAAAAACGAGUUUUGGUAAUUAUCCUUAACAAAAUUUGCUCAAAAAAUCGAAAAUCCUGUCAACAGCACCCUGGACUUGCUGAGUCCACUGAUGCACUCGACGAUUUCAUGCAACUCGGUGAGUCCACAGAUGGACUCGCCGAGUCGGCUUCGCAGAAAGCAAAAAUUUGACUUUUUUAUCCUUUGGCAGUUCACUUUUGCAUCUAUUCUACUAGAAAAACAACCUAGCCUCUGAUAUCACUGAUAGAUUAUGAGCAUAACAUCAUUCCUAUGGUGUUCAUACAACCCUAAUCGCUUUGAUCUAGGUUUUUCUAAUUUGAACAUACAACAUUGAAUACCAAAGCAAUAACUAUGAACUAGCAUAUAAUUCGAAAUUCACAUAUGAUUAGGGUUAGAAACACUACAUUGAUUGUUAUGUAGCAAUAACAAUCCCAAUCCUUCUUGAUCUUGACAUCUGAAAGCCCAGUGCCUCAAAUGGUGCGCCUCUAAUGCAGUCACAAACACCACUAGCAACAUGGAAGAACAAGAGUGAGAGGAGAGGUUCAAAAUAGGCUAUGGAAUCUUUCUAGGGUUUCUAGUAGUCGAUUUUGGCAUGCCCAAAGGUUCCUUAUAUAGCUGAGCAAUUAGGGUUUCAGUCAAAACCCUAAUCCAGUUUCUUAGUCCUUAAGCAGGCCAAUCCUCCCAGAAUGCCCCUUAGACGAUUUCUUUAUGGACUCUCAUAUAAAAUUCGUCCACUACUUCCUUGUGGAUCCUAAGCCCAACUCUGUAACUAUCGUAUAAUUACAGUAUCAGUCUCCUUAAUUUAAUUAAUCUCUUUUUACCACAAAAUUAAGUCUAAAUUAAUUCUUGAUCAAUAUUAAUUAAACAUAAUGAUUUCUCUUUUAAUACAUCCUAUCAGAUGCUAUGGUGAAGGCAACCUAAAAGGACCAUUCUCAUAAUCGGGUCAAGUACAUACCAAAAUAGUUAUGGGCUUAGACACCUAAUCCAACAAAAGAGUCAUUUUUCAAAAUUUAGGACCAGGCCAAUUUCAAUGCAUCUUUGAAUAAUUUUGAUGAGGUUAUUAAGCAAGUAUAAAAGGAAUCUCCAAAGACAGUAAAAUCAUCCAUGAAGACUUCUAUGAUAUUUUCUACAUACUUACCAUACACCUUUGGAAGGUGGCAGGUGCGUUGUAGAUUCCAAAAGGAAUUUGUCUGUAAGCAAAAGCUCCAAAUGGGCAAGUGAAGGUUGUCUUCUCCUGAUCUUUUGGAGCAACUGAAAUUUGGUGAAAGCCUGAGUAUCCAUCCAGACAUCAUGUAACAGCCCGGGAUCUCAGGUAUUGUUAAAUUAUGUUUUUGGGGUGAUUUAAGAGGGGACUCGGCGAGUUGGAGCCUAGACUCGCCGAGUAGGAUCGCAGACUUGGUCGCGAGUUCGCGACUGGACUCGACGAGUCCAGAUAUGGACUCGGCGAGUCUACGCUGUUUAGCGAAAACCCUAACCGUUCAGGUUUGGGACGUAUAAAAAGGACUCAUUGGCCGUCAUUGUUCAUUUUAGCCUUCUGAGAAGAACCCUAAAUCGAUUGUGUGCAUCUGGAGCAAGGAUUAUAGGCCAUUGUUGAUCAUAGAAGAGUUGUUGUGCAAGGAAGAGAAGAGAUUGGCUAGAGGAACAGCAAGGGAGUCACAUUCUGAGGAUUGGGGACACAGAGAAUACAUCAUCCAGGUAAGAAUUCGAGUAUACUCUGCUAUGUUGAUGUGAUUAUGGAAUUAGGGUUUAUGGAACCCUUUUUGUGAAUAGAUUGAAUGUUACCCUAGUCCCCUAAUUGAUUGUAACCCUGUAUUGGGACCUUUGGAGGUCCAGAAUGUCCCAUGUCUGUGCAUUUCGGGAAUUGAUGAAGGUUUUGGAUUGGAAUCCUUAUGCCUUAG